GCGGCCGUGGUCUAGCCUGGAUAAGACACCAGCCUGCCACGCUGGGAAUCGAGGGUUCAAAUCCCUCCGGCCGCACCA
RNAcentral lists this transfer RNA (78 nucleotides) under Candidatus Terraquivivens tikiterensis. RNAcentral's name for it is "Aigarchaeota archaeon NZ13_MG1 tRNA-Gly". It matches the Rfam family "tRNA". From Rfam's summary of the family: Transfer RNA (tRNA) molecules are approximately 80 nucleotides in length. Their secondary structure includes four short double-helical elements and three loops (D, anti-codon, and T loops). Lineage: Archaea; Thermoproteati; Nitrososphaerota; Candidatus Wolframiiraptoraceae. The record is from RNAcentral.